UGAUACAUCAUGCUGAUCUUGAUGGAGCUCCAUUACUGAUACUAGCCAACAAGCAAGAUAGAGAGAAGUGGAGAGUGCUUUUGAUACAAGUGUUGAAUCAAUAGGUAACAGAGACUGUCGUAUACAGAGGGUCUCUGCUCUAAGAGGUGAAGGCGUGUUUGAAGGGAUCGAAUGGUUAGCUCAGAGAGUAAAGGAAAAACCAAAUAGACCUUUGAAACCAGUCAAGUCGUAAUACUUAUUUUAAUGUCAUUUUCUCUCAU
RNAcentral lists this long non-coding RNA (260 nucleotides) under Amphimedon queenslandica. Its description in RNAcentral is "uncharacterized LOC109585568, transcript variant X2". The record is from RNAcentral. Lineage: Eukaryota; Metazoa; Porifera; Demospongiae; Haplosclerida; Niphatidae.